AAACACACAGUUUUUUGCCCCACUGCUCUUUUCUUUGGACAAGGAGUAUAUGAUACUGAUUACGGGGUGGUCCAAUGGGGUCUUUGAUUAUAACCUUGCUCUUUGGUGAUCCAUUGGGGCUGUGUUCAUGGCUCUGUUCCCUGGUGGUCCAGUGGGCUUUAAUCAUGGCUCUGCUCCCUGGUAUCCCAGCAAGGCCUGUAAUGCAGCUCCCUGGUCUGCACCUCCACUUGAGAUCACUGUAAAAGUUGCUUCCAGUCUUUGACCACGAGAGAUAAUUCAAAUGAUCAGCACCCACCUGAAUUGCAUCCACAAGCUGCUUUGUCACAAUGAGGGAUUAUUUCAGGUCAAGUAAAUCUGUUUAGCCUUGUUG
Molecule: non-coding RNA, 370 nt
Organism: Pelobates cultripes (western spadefoot toad)
Lineage: Eukaryota; Metazoa; Chordata; Amphibia; Anura; Pelobatidae
Source: the annotation of a GenBank genome assembly